UAUGCGUUUACUUUACAAAGUAAAUGAGAGACUUGGCAACACCCUUGUUUACAAAAGGCCCCAGAGAAUGGGCCCCAGAGGUCCAGGGGGCAUUGAGAAGCCUGGAUCAGUGAGUGCCUGCUUUGUUCAUUGAGUUCAGAAGUCUUUGCUGGCCACUAUCAAUUCAAUAGUAGUAGUAGUAGUAGUAGUAGUAGCAGCAGCAGCAGCAGCAGCUGCAGUAGUAACAGUAGCAGCAUUAGUAGUAGUAGUAAUUGCUGUUAUUAUUGUCAUUUGUCCUUUGUUCUAGAAGAGGACCAUGACAUCUGGAAGAUGAUACCAUGAUUUGGAUGUAAAUUAGAUUUAAGUGAGGGAGGGCUGUGCAAGGUCACCAGUCUCACUUUCUCCUCCCAAGGCAUCUGGGUCCAGUGGUAAGAUACAGAUCAGGACAACUGGAGAUGGCCCCCAGUAGUAGGAGUAGGAGUAGUAAUAGUAGUACUCACUGUUGUCAGGGAAAGGAGAGUUUGCUGACUCAUGACUCUGGGUUGGGGGACACCACACCCUGGGAAUUUCCUUGGGUCUCAGAGGAAGUGAAAGAGACGUUCUAGUGAAAGAGAGCCGUUGGGAUCUGUUCUCCACCAUGUCCGUUGUCCUUGACCUCUGACCACCACCAAAUGGCUUCCCCACCCCCAUUAGUCUCUACCACUCCUGCCCACUCCGACCCCUCAUCCAAACCCUCUUGGUCUCCUUUUCAUUCUCUGUCUCUCCACAUGGUCUUGAUCUCCAUACCAUCUCCCCCCUCCCCAAUUAGUCCCCUGCACUACAUGGUCUAUCCCUCUCCUCUAUUGGUCUCCAUUUUAUUCCAUUUCCUCACUGUUCUCUGUUCUAACACCCACAGGGCCCAGGACCUUUCUCCUACUUCAUCGUUUCCCCUCCAUUUCUCCCUUUUCCUCUCUCUUUAAUACCCCCGCCCUUCCCUUAGAGUUCCGAUUCAUCAUCCCCUUGGGUACCCAGUACCUGACAGCCUUCCCCUUUGGUCUCGGUUUCUCCCUUGUUGGUCAACCGUCCUCCCCACUGGUGUCCCACACAUUCCAUUCCUUCCUGUUUCCGUUUUUUUGCUUUCCGUUUCAUUCCAUACCUGCCUCACCUCCGUUCUAUACGCACCCCCAGCCCAGCCCCGGGUCCGUUGGGGGUCUGUUGGGGCUUCCCGCUGGCCAAACAGAAGUCCCAGCCCUGGUGAGGCACCAGCGUCCUGGCCGCUGCCCCCCAGACCCGGCAGUCCACCCAUCCAGCUCCCUUUGGAACCUGGCACUGCCCCUGCCCCUCCUCGGGGUCGCUGCUACCGCCUGGGGCUGCAUUGGCUACAAAGAGGCUCAGGCUACCGCGCAAAGGGUCUGCGGCUGGCCCCGGAGGAAGCAGUGCUGAGGGCUCUGGGGACAGAAGGCCAAUCCCUGCUCUCCUCUCUGGACCUCUGGGCCUGCAGGAGUUCAGGCCCAUUGCUGAAAGGCUGAGGAAAAUCAACAGACUAGAGGUGGAUGGAUGAUGAACAUGAGAGAAGAGGAAACAUUGUGGCAUCACCUUAAAGUAAAGCUUCAUUUUCCCACCUGAGGAAUAGCCCACCUGCUCCUCCACGGCAGGAUGAGGACAAGAGAGGACACAUGAGAAAAUCCCUGGACCUGGCAAAGUGCUGCAGAAAUGCUGGAAACCAUUAUUAAUGGUCACUAUCACCAAAGAGUAAUACUCAUUGACUGACCAAGCCAAUGACCAGCCUCCUCAGACCCCCAAGCUCCUUUUGUCAUGGGUUUUAGUAUGAUCUCAGCUGCUCUCAAAAAUGGAAUUUCAGAUACUUUUAGGUUGCAGUUUACAAAUGUGUAAAUAAUAAAAGCUAGUAGGACCUCA
RNAcentral lists this long non-coding RNA (1875 nucleotides) under Phascolarctos cinereus (koala). RNAcentral's name for it is "lncRNA (ENSPCIG00000002238.2)". Lineage: Eukaryota; Metazoa; Chordata; Mammalia; Diprotodontia; Phascolarctidae. The record is from RNAcentral.